This 384-nucleotide RNase P RNA is filed under the name Pseudomonadales bacterium. Its description in RNAcentral is "RNase P RNA component class A". It matches the Rfam family "Bacterial RNase P class A". From Rfam's summary of the family: Ribonuclease P (RNase P) is a ubiquitous endoribonuclease, found in archaea, bacteria and eukarya as well as chloroplasts and mitochondria. Lineage: Bacteria; Pseudomonadati; Pseudomonadota; Gammaproteobacteria; Pseudomonadales. The record is from RNAcentral.
UGAGUCGGCCAGGCAGUCGCUCCCUGCAUCCGGAAACGGUUGCAGGCGGGAGGAAAGUCCGGGCUCCACAGGACAAGACGCCAGGUAACGCCUGGGGGGCGUGAGCCCACGGAAAGUGCAACAGAGAGUAGACCGCCUAAGCUGCGCGCCAGCGCGUGGCCGGUAAGGGUGAAACGGUGCGGUAAGAGCGCACCGCGCCGACGGUAACGUCGAGUGGCUGGGUAAACCCCGUCUGGAGCAAGACCAAAUAGGGGCCCUAUGGCGUGGUCCGCGCCGGGUCCGGGUAGGUCGCUAGAGGGUAUCGGUGACGGUACUUCGAGAUGAAUGACUGCCCGACGGCCUUGUGUCGUCUGACAGAACCCGGCUUAUCGGCCGGCUCAUCCU